AUUGCAAUAAAGGCGAGGGAGUGUAGGUUGAACGAAAGGAAAGAUGGAGAGAGAGAAAGGAAGAAGAAGAAAGGCAGGGAGCUUAAACAGGCGAGGGUCCGGUUUGCUGCCCUUCACUGAGGGCAAGGGAAUGUGGAUUGACAGAGAAACAGAGAGAGAAGGUGAGCACUGCUUAGAAUUUUGGGGCAAUAAAUGGCUGAUACUUAGUCGUAAGCAAAUCCACAGAACUCAUCGUAAACUUACGUCACUCUUUUCCAAUUGCAAUAAAGGCGAGGGAGUGUAGGUUGAACGAAGGGAAAGAAGAGGGAGAAAGGAAGAAGAAGAAAGGCAGGGAGCUUAAACAUGCGAGGGUCCGGUUUGCUGCCCUUCAUUGAGGGCAAGGCAAUGUGGAUUGACAGAGAAACAGAGAAGGUGAGCACUGCUUAGAAAUUUGGGGCAAUAAAUGGCUUAUACUUAGUCGUAAGCAAAUCCACAGAACUCAUCGUAAAGUUACGCCACUCUUUUCCAAUUGCAAUAAAGGCGAGGGAGCGUAGGUUGAACGAAGGGAAAGAUGGAGAGGGAGAAAGGAAGAAGAAGAAAGGCAGGGAGCUUAAACAGGCGAGGGUCCGGUUUGCUGCCCUUCACUGAGGGCAAGGGAAUGUGGAUUGACAGAGAAACAGAGAGAUAAGGUGAGCACUGCUUUGAAAUUUGGGGCAAUAAAUGGCUGAUACUUAGUCGUAAGCAAAUCCACAGAACUCAUCGUAAACUUACGCCACUCUUUUCCAAUUGCAAUAAAGGCGAGGGAGUGUAGGUUGAACGAAGGGAAAGAUGGAGAGGGAGAAAGGAAGAAGAAAGGCAGGGAGCUUAAACAGGCGAGGGUCCGGUUUGCUGCCCUUCACUGAGGGCAAUGGAAUGUGGAUUGACAGAGAAACAGAGAGAUAAGGUGAGCACUGCUUUGAAAUUUGGGGCAAUAAAUGGCUGAUACUUAGUCGUAAGCAAAUCCACAGAACUCAUCGUAAACUUACGCCACUCUUUUCCAAUUGCAAUAAAGGCGAGGGAGCGUAGGUUGAACGAAGGGAAAGAUGGAGAGGGAGAAAGGAAGAAGAAAGGCAGGGAGCUUAAACAGGCGAGGGUCCGGUUUGCUGCCCUUCACUGAGGGCAAUGGAAUGUGGAUUGACAGAGAAACAGAGAGAUAAGGUGAGCACUGCUUUGAAAUUUGGGGCAAUAAAUGGCUGAUACUUAGUCGUAAGCAAAUCCACAGAACUCAUCGUAAA
Rhipicephalus sanguineus (brown dog tick) is the source of this 1253-nucleotide long non-coding RNA. RefSeq lists it as uncharacterized. The record is from RefSeq and is a predicted model, not a curated record. Lineage: Eukaryota; Metazoa; Arthropoda; Arachnida; Ixodida; Ixodidae. The transcript is spliced from 3 exons.